CCCGGAAGCAUCCAGCCAGCACCACGGCGUCACCGCAGCUCUCCGUGCGCAGAGCUCAGGGACACCCAAACUUCAGCUAAGGGUCAUCUCUGCAGUUUACCCAGCUCCAGAAUGCCAUACCUACUACGUAAAACUGGUGCAAGUUGGUAUCACUGCGGUGGGUAACAGAGAUGGCUUGGAAACUACACAACCCAACAUGCAACGCCCACCAGCACGGGCUGCUCUACGCUAAGGGAGGAAGGUUUUUUGCUGGGGUGCAUUCAACUCACAUGCCUCAUGUUGGCCGUACCAGCCUAAGUCAUGCAGCUGUCUGCACGCAACGCUCUACACAGUGCAAA
This 338-nucleotide long non-coding RNA is filed under the name Gallus gallus (chicken). RNAcentral describes it as "long non-coding RNA NONGGAT003576". The record is from RNAcentral. Lineage: Eukaryota; Metazoa; Chordata; Aves; Galliformes; Phasianidae.